RNAcentral lists this ribosomal RNA (362 nucleotides) under Quasipaa boulengeri (spiny-bellied frog). RNAcentral describes it as "partial 12S ribosomal RNA". It matches the Rfam family "Bacterial small subunit ribosomal RNA", at positions 853 to 1384 of the family's 1533-position model. The record is from RNAcentral. Lineage: Eukaryota; Metazoa; Chordata; Amphibia; Anura; Dicroglossidae.
UAACUCACUUCCACCAACGCCAGGAUAUUACGAGCUUUAGCUUAAAACCCAAAGGACUUGACGGUGUCCCAUCCAUCUAGAGGAGCCUGUUCCAUCAUCGAUAAUCCCCGCUACACCUAACCACCCCUUGCCAAUCAGUCUGUAUACCUCCGUCGUAAACUUACCAUGUGAGUGCUCACAGUAAGUUUAAUGGCCACCAUCACAAAUACGUCAGGUCAAGGUGCAGCUCAUGGGGCGGCAGGCAAUGGGCUACAAUUUCUAUACUAGAACAAACAAAACGCUGCAUGAAAUACAGCCGCGAAGGCGGAUUUAGUAGUAAAAAGAAAAUAGCGUGUUCUUUUUAACUCGGCCCUGGGACGUGU